Long non-coding RNA from Cyprinus carpio carpio, 2268 nucleotides. The record is from Ensembl. Lineage: Eukaryota; Metazoa; Chordata; Actinopteri; Cypriniformes; Cyprinidae.
UUAUAAUAUUAUAAAAUAAAUCAAAUAAAUAAAUGAAAAAUACUGCAUAAUUUAUAGAAAUUUACAGAGCCACAUAAUCUAAAACUAACUAUUAUGUUAUUUAUAUUGUAUUUUAUAAUUUCACUGAAAUUAGACAUUUGAAAUAAAUAAAUAAAUACAAUUACAAAGUAAAGAAAUACAUACAAUGUUUGAGUCUGCACUGAUGCUGCAUUUAAUUUAUACAGAAACACAAGUAUCAGAACUGGCACAGAAUUUGAAAGAGCAACAGUCUAAAUAACUAAUAUUUCAUUUACAUUUUAGUGUAUUUUAUAAAUAUACUUUACAUAUAAAUUAUUAUGAAAUAUGAAAUCAAAUUAUGAAUAAAUAAAUCAACAAAUAAACACAAAGUCCAAGUGUGCACUUUUGCGGCAUGCAAAUUCUAUACAGAAGGAAAAGCUUUAGAAUUGGCACAAAUUUUGAAACAGGCUCAGAGCCUUUUCUUAUGAAAAGCAUCAUGGGUAAUUUUAAAUUCCAGUAUGCUGGAUGAAUGAGAAGUCAGCUGUGACAACAUGCAAUGUCACAAACUCUGUGCGCUUGACAGCCAGAACUGUUUGUUGGUGUUUUUUCUUCUUCUUCUUCUUCUUCUUCUUCUGUUUUUUUUUUUUUAAUUUAAUCAUAUAAAUUGAUCAUGUCUCUUUAGGAGGCUUGGAUUAAACUAUUCAAUUCAAACCACUCAAUUUAUUUUACAAUCUCUUUGAACUUUUUGAAGCAUCAGUUUUGGGUGAAAAGACUUUCAGUAGAGGGACAGAAAUCUCUCAGAUUUUAAUUAUAUAUAAAUAUAAUAAUAUAUAAAUAUUUUCAUUUUCUUUUGUUGAAGACAAAAAAAAAAUCUUCUGAUUUUCAAAACAACAUGAGGGUGAGUAAAUGAUGAAAAUGUUAAUUUUCAGGUGAACUAAUCCUUCACUCUAAAAGAAAAAGGUUCUUCAGCAGUUCUUUGGGGAGGUUGAGGUGCUAUAUAACACCACUACCAUAUAAAGAACCUGUUAAGCCCCAGCAUGGUUCUUCAGUGAUUCUUCAGCAGUUCUUUGGGUGGUUAAGGUGCUACAUACAGUAGCACCACUGCUGUACAUAAAGAAGCCAUUAAGCCAACCAAAAUAUUGUUUAUUACUUUGUUUGCACUUUGGAGGGAUUAAUGCAGAACACAAAUUCCAAGUAUGCGUUACCAUACUUGCCCACACCUCACUUCAUUAUACUCCAAAUUUUGUAAUUGUAGUUGUAGUUUUAAUGUAAUUGCAGUAAAUUAAACAUAAUUUACUAAUUAUACAUCAGAUUUUAAUUUAUAAUGUGUGUGUGUGUGUGUGUGUGUAUAUAUAUAUAUAUAUACACACACACACGCACACAGACAAACUAUAUUUUUAAUUUAAUGAACACACACAAAAUAAAAUGUCUCUGUAACUCAUUUACACAUACCAUAUAAAAGUAAAAUCAGUAAAGGGUUAAAGCUGUGGUGUUGAACAGUGAUGGAAAGAGUACUGAAAAUUUGUACUUAAGUACAAGUACUGUUACAUUGCUGAAAUAAUACUCAAUUAUAAGUAAAAGUACUGGUGUCAAAACAGUACUUAAGUAAAAGUACAAAUUAUUCUUCUCAAAAACUACUCAGAAUACUAGUUACUAGUUUUUUUUUUUUUUUUAUCCGGCGAUAUUUAAUGAAUUACCAAAAAAAUAUUCAUAUCAAAGAUCUAUGUGGAUAAUAGCUACUUUGAACAAACCCACUUUUAUCUUAUUGACAAAGUAUGUGAAUUAGUGGUCAUGAUGCAGGAAUUUCUAACUUCUUAAUAUUAAAGUACCCGUGAACCGGAAGUUGCAACUGACUUCAGUGCUGUGAUAUGUAUUUUCAAGCGAAAUGGAAUAUUGAAUGAAGGGCGAGGCUUUAUUGUGGUGCACCUCAACUCCACCUAUUGCUCACAGCAGAUUUACGGUUAGAUAGGAGAGGUUAAGAAUAUCUGCUUGAUAAGUCUGACAUCACACUUCACUUCUUCUGGGUCUUAACGCCUGCCAGAUGCCCCAAGAAAACACCAAACUGUGUAAAUAUACACCCACAAUGUCAUUUAAUACGGAAAAAUUAUAACCCUAACCUUUAUCUCCAUACUGAAAUCCCAGAUGGACAGACAGUGAUUCAGCUAAAAUAUUAGUGUCUGAGACACUGUGAGCAUAGAGACUUUUUUUUUUUUUUUUUUAAUGCGUAGCUUAAAUAUAUAAUAUUAAUUAAAUAGUGCUUGGACCCAGAAG